GUGGGGAAUAUUGGACAAUGGGCGCAAGCCUGAUCCAGCCAUGCCGCGUGAGUGAUGAAGGCCCUAGGGUUGUAAAGCUCUUUCAGUGGGGACGAUAAUGACGGUACCCACAGAAGAAGCCCCGGCUAACUUCGUGCCAGCAGCCGCGGUAAUACGAAGGGGGCUAGCGUUGUUCGGAUUUACUGGGCGUAAAGCGCACGUAGGCGGAUCGUUAAGUCGAGGGUGAAAUCCUGGAGCUCAACUCCAGAACUGCCUUCGAUACUGGCGAUCUUGAGUCCGGAAGAGGUGAGUGGAACUCCUAGUGUAGAGGUGGAAUUCGUAGAUAUUAGGAAGAACACCAGUGGCGAAGGCGGCUCACUGGUCCGGUACUGACGCUGAGGUGCGAAAGCGUGGGGAGCAAACAGGAUUAGAAACCCCAGUAGUCC
RNAcentral lists this ribosomal RNA (425 nucleotides) under uncultured bacterium. RNAcentral's name for it is "bacterial SSU rRNA". It matches the Rfam family "Bacterial small subunit ribosomal RNA", at positions 354 to 796 of the family's 1533-position model. The record is from RNAcentral.